GGUCGUAUAGUGUAGUGGUUAUCACUCGGGAUUUUGAAGUGCAAUCUGCGUUGAUAGUUUCCCGAAACCCAGGUUCGAACCCUGGUACGACCU
This is a non-coding RNA of Vararia minispora EC-137, 93 nucleotides long. NCBI's taxonomy places the organism in Eukaryota, Fungi, Basidiomycota, Agaricomycetes, Russulales, Lachnocladiaceae. The record is from the annotation of a GenBank genome assembly.